UAACUUGUCUUUCAGUCUGUCCAAUGUC
RNAcentral lists this non-coding RNA (28 nucleotides) under Mus musculus (house mouse). The record is from RNAcentral. Lineage: Eukaryota; Metazoa; Chordata; Mammalia; Rodentia; Muridae.